RNAcentral lists this ribosomal RNA (378 nucleotides) under uncultured eukaryote. RNAcentral describes it as "partial 18S ribosomal RNA". It matches the Rfam family "Eukaryotic small subunit ribosomal RNA", at positions 592 to 976 of the family's 1831-position model. The record is from RNAcentral.
CAAUAGCGUAUAUUUAAGUUGUUGCAGUUAAAAAGCUCGUAGUUGGAUUUCGGGUGUGAACGACCGGUCCGUCUUUGAUGUGUACUGGUUGGUUGCGCCUUAUUGUCGAGGACGUGGUUCUAGCCUUCAUUAGCCGGGACACGGAGUCGGCAGCGUUACUUUGAGAAAAUUAGAGUGUUCAAAGCAGGCUAUCGCUCUGAAUACUACAGCAUGGAAUAACACGAUAGGACUCCGAGCCUAUUCUGUUGGUCUUCGGGACCGGAGUAAUGAUUAAGAGGGACAGUUGGGGGCAUUCGUAUUCCGAUGUCAGAGGUGAAAUUCUUGGAUUAUCGGAAGACGAGCAUCUGCGAAAGCAUUUGCCAAGGAUGUUUUCAUUAA